This 67-nucleotide small RNA is filed under the name Salmonella enterica subsp. enterica serovar Typhimurium. RNAcentral describes it as "partial RtT sRNA". It matches the Rfam family "RtT RNA", at positions 1 to 67 of the family's 130-position model. Rfam says of the family: This family represents a bacterial cis-regulatory element known as RtT RNA. The exact function of RtT is unknown although it is thought that it may be involved in changing the cellular response in relation to amino acid starvation. Lineage: Bacteria; Pseudomonadati; Pseudomonadota; Gammaproteobacteria; Enterobacterales; Enterobacteriaceae. The record is from RNAcentral.
AUAUCUCUCUGUACGGGAAGGAUGAGAAGCUUCUACCAAGGUUCGAUUCGAGCGCAGCGAGAAAGCG